UAGAAUGAAGUCACGUACAUGUUUGUCUGU
Molecule: non-coding RNA, 30 nt
Filed under: Rattus norvegicus (Norway rat)
Lineage: Eukaryota; Metazoa; Chordata; Mammalia; Rodentia; Muridae
Source: RNAcentral